RNAcentral lists this transfer RNA (81 nucleotides) under Aeriscardovia sp. Its description in RNAcentral is "tRNA-Tyr". It matches the Rfam family "tRNA". Rfam says of the family: Transfer RNA (tRNA) molecules are approximately 80 nucleotides in length. Their secondary structure includes four short double-helical elements and three loops (D, anti-codon, and T loops). Lineage: Bacteria; Bacillati; Actinomycetota; Actinomycetes; Bifidobacteriales; Bifidobacteriaceae. The record is from RNAcentral.
GGUGGGUUUCCCAAGUGGUCAAAGGGAGCUGACUGUAAAUCAGCCGCGGAAGCUUCGCAGGUUCAAAUCCUGCACCCACCA